This 429-nucleotide ribosomal RNA is filed under the name Acidobacteriota bacterium. RNAcentral describes it as "Acidobacteria bacterium partial 16S ribosomal RNA". It matches the Rfam family "Bacterial small subunit ribosomal RNA", at positions 355 to 776 of the family's 1533-position model. Lineage: Bacteria; Pseudomonadati; Acidobacteriota. The record is from RNAcentral.
UGGGGAAUUUUGGACAAUGGGGGAAACCCUGAUCCAGCCAUCCCGCGUGUGCGAUGAAGGCCUUCGGGUUGUAAAGCACUUUUGGCAGGAAAGAAACGUCAUGGGUUAAUACCCCGUGAAACUGACGGUACCUGCAGAAUAAGCACCGGCUAACUACGUGCCAGCAGCCGCGGUAAUACGUAGGGUGCAAGCGUUAAUCGGAAUUACUGGGCGGAAAGCGUGCGCAGGCGGUUCGGAAAGAAAGAUGUGAAAUCCCAGAGCUCAACUUUGGAACUGCAUUUUUAACUACCGGGCUAGAGUGUGUCAGAGGAAGGUGGAAUUCCGCGUGUAGCAGUGAAAUGCGUAAAUAUGCGGAAGAAAACCGAUGGCGAAGGCAGCCUCCUGGGAUAACACUGACGCUCAUGCACGAAAGCGUGGGGAGCAAACAGG